GUAGGGUGCGAGCGUUAAUCGGAAUUACUGGGCGUAAAGCGUGCGCAGGCGGUUGUGUAAGACAGAUGUGAAAUGCCCGGGCUUAACCUGGGAAUUGCAUUUGUGACUGCACGGCUAGAGUGUGUCAGAGGGGGGUAGAAUUCCACGUGUAGCAGUGAAAUGCGUAGAUAUGUGGAGGAAUACCGAUGGCGAAGGCAGCCCCCUGGGAUAACACUGACGCUCAUGCACGAAAGCGUGGGGAGCAAACAGGAUUAGAUACCCUGGUAGUCCACGCCCUAAACGAUGUCGACUAGUUGUUGGGUCUUAAUUGACUUAGUAACGCAGCUAACGCGUGAAGUAGACCGCCUGGGGAGU
Molecule: ribosomal RNA, 354 nt
Filed under: uncultured bacterium
Lineage: Bacteria
Description: bacterial SSU rRNA
Rfam family: Bacterial small subunit ribosomal RNA
Source: RNAcentral